CAGAGCGUAGCUAAACAGAAUAGCAUCUCCCUUACACCGAGAAGGCACCCGUGCAAGCCGGGUCGCACUGA
This 71-nucleotide transfer RNA is filed under the name Chriolepis dialepta. RNAcentral describes it as "tRNA-Val". It matches the Rfam family "tRNA". From Rfam's summary of the family: Transfer RNA (tRNA) molecules are approximately 80 nucleotides in length. Their secondary structure includes four short double-helical elements and three loops (D, anti-codon, and T loops). Lineage: Eukaryota; Metazoa; Chordata; Actinopteri; Gobiiformes; Gobiidae. The record is from RNAcentral.